GUAAGUCCGGCCCGGCCCACUGGCCCGGCCCAGCUGCCCACUGCCCGGCUGCUUGGUUGACUGUAGCUGUAGCUCCCAGGGUUUGUGGUGCUGUUGGGUGGGCAGGGCAAACAGAUGUACAGACCAUGGUUUGGGGGCUGCUUGAGAUCACAGCUCCUUCCUAGGGUGCUCUUAGAGCAGGACCUCCUUCCUGAGGCAGGCCCUGCUCUGUCCCAUACUCUCCAGUAGGCAUGGCUCAACCACCACUAUUUGAACUUGUUCUCUUCUGUUACUCCUGCCCUGAUCUUGCCUGAGCUGUUCACUGUGCAGGAAAGGCAAGGCCCUGACUUGGCGUCUCUAGAUACUAACUGCACGGUGACUCUAGCCCCGUCUGAUACCAGCUGGGCGGGGCUUCCCGGCUGCUAUAAACUGCAUGUGCCUGAGGCUGCCGUGGGCCCUGCACACAUGCACGAGCACAGACAGAGGUGAGGGCAGAACAGUGUGUAAUGUUUAAGGCAGAUGGGUAGUAGCCAUCCCAAACACAUCUCUUCAUCAGCUAUCACUCGGUGUAGGUCUUUCAGAGUCCUGUGAGUGGCCCCUUGUAUCCCCAUCCCAUCUGUCUGUCCCUCCCUCUCUCGACAGUGUUGGCCUGUGGGCGACCCCAAGCAACAGCAGUAUACAAGGUCUCUGAGUAUGCCCGUCGCUUCGGUGUCCCUGUUAUUGCUGAUGGAGGAAUCCAGAAUGUGGGUCAUAUUGCCAAAGCUUUGGCUCUUGGGGCCUCUACAGGUGAGACCUAGUAAUCUUGGGGCCUGGUGGGGUCCCCUUUCAUGCACUUCUCAGAUUCUGCCCCUAGCUUACUUGUCUGUCCACAGUCAUGAUGGGCUCCCUCUUGGCUGCCACCACUGAGGCCCCUGGUGAGUACUU
Molecule: long non-coding RNA, 903 nt
Filed under: Rattus norvegicus (Norway rat)
Lineage: Eukaryota; Metazoa; Chordata; Mammalia; Rodentia; Muridae
Description: long non-coding RNA NONRATT028042
Source: RNAcentral